Molecule: small nucleolar RNA, 82 nt
Filed under: Echinops telfairi (small Madagascar hedgehog)
Lineage: Eukaryota; Metazoa; Chordata; Mammalia; Afrosoricida; Tenrecidae
Source: RNAcentral
UUGUGAAGUAGCAAUGAUCAGGUUUAGGAAAAUGACUGGGUAGAAAAUAUUAUUCUAUUCACUUUGUUCCCAGCCUACAUUU